This 440-nucleotide ribosomal RNA is filed under the name uncultured bacterium. Its description in RNAcentral is "partial 16S ribosomal RNA". It matches the Rfam family "Bacterial small subunit ribosomal RNA", at positions 338 to 795 of the family's 1533-position model. The record is from RNAcentral.
CCUACGGGCGGCAGCAGUAGGGAAUAUUGCGCAAUGGGGGAAACCCUGAAGCAGCAACGCCGCGUGGAGGAUGAAGGUUUUCGGAUCGUAAACUCCUGUUAUUAGAGAAGAUAAUGCCGGUAUGUAACGAAUAAGCACCGGCUAAAUCCGUGCCAACAGCCGCGGUAAUACGGAGGGUGCAAGCGUUAUGCGGAAUCACUGGGCGUAAAGAGCGCGUAGGCGGGAUAGCAAGUCAGAUGUGAAAGCCUAUGGCUUAACCAUAGAACUGCAAUUGAAACUGUAAUUCUAGAGUAUGAGAGAGGUAGGUAGAAUUCUUGGUGUAGCGGUAAAAUGCGUAGAGAUCAAGAGGAAUACUCUUUGCGAAGGCGACCAGCUAGAUCAUAACUGACGCUGAUGCGCGAAAGCGUGGGGAGCAAACAGGAUUAGAUACCCUUGUAGUC